This 699-nucleotide ribosomal RNA is filed under the name uncultured bacterium. Its description in RNAcentral is "bacterial SSU rRNA". It matches the Rfam family "Bacterial small subunit ribosomal RNA", at positions 138 to 857 of the family's 1533-position model. The record is from RNAcentral.
CACGGAUAACAUACCGAAAGGUAUGCUAAUACGGGAUAAUAUAUUUGAGAGGCAUCUCUUAAAUAUCAAAGGUGAGCCAGUACAGGAUGGACCCGCGUCUGAUUAGCUAGUUGGUAAGGUAACGGCUUACCAAGGCGACGAUCAGUAGCCGACCUGAGAGGGUGAUCGGCCACAUUGGAACUGAGACACGGUCCAAACUCCUACGGGAGGCAGCAGUGGGGAAUAUUGCACAAUGGGCGAAAGCCUGAUGCAGCAACGCCGCGUGAGUGAUGAAGGCCUUCGGGUCGUAAAACUCUGUCCUCAAGGAAGAUAAUGACGGUACUUGAGGAGGAAGCCCCGGCUAACUACGUACCAGCAGCCGCGGUAAUACGUAGGGGGCUAGCGUUAUCCGGAUUUACUGGGCGUAAAGGGUGCGUAGGCGGUCUUUCAAGUCAGGAGUGAAAGGCUACGGCUCAACCGUAGUAAGCUCUUGAAACUGGGAGACUUGAGUGCAGGAGAGGAGAGUGGAAUUCCUAGUGUAGCGGUGAAAUGCGUAGAUAUUAGGAGGAACACCAGUUGCGAAGGCGGCUCUCUGGACUGUAACUGACGCUGAGGCACGAAAGCGUGGGGAGCAAACAGGAUUAGAUACCCUGGUAGUCCACGCUGUAAACGAUGAGUACUAGGUGUCGGGGGUUACCCCCCUCGGUGCCGCAGCUAACG